UGGAGGUAGUGACAAUAAAUCACAAUGCGGGACUAUACGUCUUGCAAUUGGAUUGAGAACAAUGUACAACUCUUAUCGAUAAGCCAUUGGAGGGCAAGUCUGGUGCCAGCAGCCGCGGUAAUUCCAGCUCCAAUAGCGUAUAUUAACGUUGUUGCAGUUAAAAAGCUCGUAGUUGAAGUGUGGGUGAUCGCUGUUGUGAGACUUCGGUCUCUCGACAGUAAGUCACCCCCUUCCAGUAUCCAGUAGUGGGUAUUCAGUUACUUACUAUUGUGUGUUGGUCAUUUACUGUGAGAAAAUUAGAGUGUUCAAAGCAGGCGUUUGCUUGAAUAGAUUAGCAUGGAAUAAUAAUUGAAGGCUUUCGUGUUCGAUUUGAUUGGUUUGUUCAUGGAAGCAAGGUUAAAAGGAACAGUUGGGGGUAUUCAUAUUCACUAGUUAGAGGUGAAAUUCUCGGAUUUAUGGAAGAUGAACAAGUGCGAAAGCAACCGCUC
RNAcentral lists this ribosomal RNA (488 nucleotides) under Blastocystis sp. subtype 1. RNAcentral's name for it is "SSU rRNA". It matches the Rfam family "Eukaryotic small subunit ribosomal RNA", at positions 459 to 960 of the family's 1831-position model. The record is from RNAcentral. Lineage: Eukaryota; Bigyra; Opalinata; Blastocystidae.